AAACCAGCACCUCAAGUGGUCAGGAGGAUUAUUGGGCCUAAAGCAUCCGUAGCCUGUUCUGUAAGUUUCCGGUUAAAUCCAUUAGCUCAACUAAUGGGCCGCCGAAAAUACUGCAGAACUAGGGAGUGGGAGAGGUAGACGGUACUCGGUAGGAACGGGUAAAAUCCUUUGAUCUAUCGAUGACCACCUGUGGCGAAGGCGGUCUACCAGAACACGUUCGACGGUGAGGGAUGAAAGCUGGGGGAGCAAACCGGAUUAGAAACCCGGGUAGUCC
RNAcentral lists this ribosomal RNA (274 nucleotides) under uncultured bacterium. RNAcentral describes it as "partial 16S ribosomal RNA". It matches the Rfam family "Archaeal small subunit ribosomal RNA", at positions 473 to 747 of the family's 1478-position model. The record is from RNAcentral.